RNAcentral lists this transfer RNA (73 nucleotides) under Mecistops cataphractus (African slender-snouted crocodile). RNAcentral's name for it is "tRNA-Thr". It matches the Rfam family "tRNA". Rfam says of the family: Transfer RNA (tRNA) molecules are approximately 80 nucleotides in length. Their secondary structure includes four short double-helical elements and three loops (D, anti-codon, and T loops). Lineage: Eukaryota; Metazoa; Chordata; Crocodylia; Crocodylidae. The record is from RNAcentral.
ACUCUUGUAGCUAAAUCCAAAAGCGCUGGCCUUGUAAGACAGAAAUGGAAAACACUAGACCUUCCCAAGAGUA